UCACCAAUCAGUUUAUUUCAGAUUCAGGCAGAUUUGUUUAUUCUCAGUCUCAAAAGAUUAUUGAAAGCGUGAACAACUACUCAAAGAACAACUCAAUUUAAAUUAUUUAAAAAAAAAAAAUUAUUUUGCUUAAUAUUCAUACAUACUCGUUAAAAAAUAUACGCUGCUCAUACUAUUCGUAUCAAUUGUUUAUUUGUUUGUUGUUAAAAAAAAAUAACAAUAAAAACAUAACAAUGUAUCAGAAAAUCAUAGGACUAUUUUUAACAAUCUGUUUAAUAAUGACGCAUUGUUGUGGCUUGAGUCAAGCGGUUCCCAUACUUGGGGAACAAACUCAAUUUGAUGAUAAUUCCAAAGUUCAGGGAAAAUCAAAACCAAUUUUUGUUUAUUGUGAUGAAAUCGGAAACCAUUUAAAUUGUAUGCUCUUUUGUAAGAGCAUGGGACACACAUCAGGUCAUUGCGGCGGAGAUUUUAUUUGUAAUUGUUUUUAAAUUUUAAUAAACUCAUUCCAACUCCACGAAAUUUUAACACGAUCGUUUAAUGAGAUUAUUACAAUAAAUAAAAAUAUUAUUAAUAUUUGAUAAUGUUUGUCGUAUUCGCAAUCGUAUUUGUAUUUUAAAAUGUUGUUGUUACUUAUGUACUCGUACUAUAUUUGUGAUUAUUUAAAAAAAAAAUAUUAGCAUUUACUAUAUAAGUAUAUGAUUACAGAUCAACACAUACAAAAAACUUAAUUAAGCAUCUAUAUUUAUUUUAAUUAUAAAAAUAAGAAAAAAUAUCAAUAAACUAAUCUAAUUAAAAUAUUUUAUUUAAAA
Calliphora vicina (urban bluebottle blowfly) is the source of this 809-nucleotide long non-coding RNA. RefSeq lists it as uncharacterized. The transcript has 2 exons. NCBI's taxonomy places the organism in Eukaryota, Metazoa, Arthropoda, Insecta, Diptera, Calliphoridae. The record is from RefSeq and is a predicted model, not a curated record.